Molecule: ribosomal RNA, 274 nt
Filed under: uncultured bacterium
Lineage: Bacteria
Description: partial 16S ribosomal RNA
Rfam family: Bacterial small subunit ribosomal RNA
Source: RNAcentral
AUACGUAAGUCCCAAGCGUUACUCGGAAUAAUUGGGUGUAAAGGGUUCGUAGGUGGUUAUGUAAGUUGGAUAUUAAAGACCGGAGCUCAACUCCGUGUUUGUGUUCAAAACUGCAAAACUAGAAUCAGGGAGAGGUAAGCGGAAUUCUUAGUGUAGGGGUGCAAUCCGUAGAUACUAAGAGGAACACCAAAAGCGAAGGCAGCUUACUGGAACUGUUUUGACGCUCAUGAACGAAAGCGUGGGUAGCGAAAAGGAUUAGAAACCCUAGUAGUCC